UGGAGAUGAUGCAAACAUUGAUAAACUGACAGAUACUGUGGAGGAAAAAAUAUUGAUUUAAUGAGGCUGAUCC
Small nucleolar RNA from Rhincodon typus (whale shark), 73 nucleotides. Lineage: Eukaryota; Metazoa; Chordata; Chondrichthyes; Orectolobiformes; Rhincodontidae. The record is from RefSeq and is a predicted model, not a curated record.